Unclassified non-coding RNA from Pongo abelii (Sumatran orangutan), 148 nucleotides. It matches the Rfam family "Metazoan signal recognition particle RNA". Rfam says of the family: The signal recognition particle (SRP) is a universally conserved ribonucleoprotein. It is involved in the co-translational targeting of proteins to membranes. Lineage: Eukaryota; Metazoa; Chordata; Mammalia; Primates; Hominidae. The record is from Ensembl.
GCCAGGCAUGGUGCUGCAUGCCUGUAGUCCUAGCUACUAGGGAGGCUGAGAUGGGAGAAUCGCUUAAGCCCAGGAGUUCAAGGCUGCAGUGAGCUAUGAUUACACCACUGCACUCCAGCCUGGGCAACAGAGUGAGACCCUAAGUCUA